RNAcentral lists this long non-coding RNA (2546 nucleotides) under Betta splendens (Siamese fighting fish). RNAcentral describes it as "lncRNA (ENSBSLG00000018414.1)". Lineage: Eukaryota; Metazoa; Chordata; Actinopteri; Anabantiformes; Osphronemidae. The record is from RNAcentral.
GGACAGAGCAACAGCAGAGUGAGAAGACGUGCUCUGACACAGACACUGGUUGAAACAACAGGAGAGGCUUCAGACGUGAUCGGCCCAAUAGAGCUGCAUCUGAGGAUCCAGGAAAGGUCUGUCAUCGAGGAACAACUGUCCCAUCGAAAGGCUUCACCCACUGGCGCUCACAUCAGACUGAUGGUUGGGGAAGGAGGAAGGUGACGGUUCCUUUUCACGUGACGUACAAGACGGAACACAGACUCUGGCUGACGAAUGGUUCCACCUGUAGCCAUGGAGUCUGGUUUGGGCCUGAUGGCAGCCGUGCCGCCCAAACACCUUUUCCCCACAAUUCAGAUUUCCAACAGGUGAAAACAGGCGACAGGACCAUUACACCAUCCAACGAGGGGACUGGCGAUCGUUAGGAGUUCAGGAGGAAGCAUUGGGACUCCAAACGAUGGCGAGGCCCCCUUCCAGGUCCUUCUGACGACCCACCGACUGGUGAAGAUCACAGAAAGAGUGACUUGGAUCCACUCCAUCCAGGAAGGUCCCGGAUCCGACAGACGACCCUCCAUCUACACCACACGAGAAAACCACCACUGACGAAAAGAAUUAAGAAGGACGACCCUCGCUGUGCUCACACACGCACUGAGGCGAGGCCCUGCCGUGACCGUUCAGCUAAGGGUGAGUCCAAGCGCCGCCUGAAGCUGCGCCGGUGAAUCACACUAUCAGACCAUACAUCUACACACACGUUCCUGAGGAAAACACACACACGAGCAGCCUUGAGUUGCCGACGCUGGACGACGUGUAGACUCUUCACAUCACGGGAGUGACAGUGACUCAGAGGACAUUGGGAGGAACCUGACGGUGAUAACGAACCCCAAGUGUCUCUGUGAUCAGCUGAUCACAACCUGAAGAACUCCAACGAACUGUCAAUACAUCAACACACAGGUUGGAAACAAUUUAGCGCUACUGUUCAACAGGAAGAAGCAGAUUGUUACAAGACAUCAAUUGUAACCAUGUUGCGUUAAACAUUUUAUGUUACUCUGAUUAUUGCCUUGAUCAUAUGAUGUUUCCAUGUAACUUUACACAAUACUUUUGAAUGAGAAAAUUUCACAUAAUUCACAACACUGAGUUUAAAUAUUAAUUUGGUGUUAAUUUGCUUCACAAUCACUUAUUCAUGCUUACAAUUCGUUUUUAUCCUUCAUCUACAGAUGACAGAGGUUAUGAGACAAAACGCAUCAUCAUUCUGGUUAAAUCCCUGAAUCUCCUAUUCGCUCUAGACGCAAAUGUACAAUUAAAGAUUCGAAAGCAUGAAAUCUAUCUUAAGAUUAUAUGAAUCAGAACCCCACCGGAAACCUAUGGCUAUCAUAAAUUAAUUGUCUUAUUACAUUACAAUCGAAUGGCCGUAGACAUGGUUGUUAGCAGAGAAAAGAGGCCUUUGUGUAUGUUUGGAGACGCAUGUUGUACUUACAUCCUGAAUAACACUGAUUCUAAUGGUAUUGUGGCGAAGGCGCUACACACGGGCCUUCAGAAUCUCAGCUAACUCUGGUAUAGGUUCUUUCCCUUGGAAUGGCUAGACGAAAUGUCUGGAAAAUGGAAAUCUGUUCUAAUGUCCACAGCUGUUUCCUUUAUCAUUGAGAGGGCUGUGAUUCUCUUGUUGGUUUUUGCGUUUUAUCCCACUGGUUAGAGGUCUCAUCAUGCGUGCGACCUCAGCAACACUCGUAUCAAAUGACACAAGGCACUAUGUUCAAAAACCCCAACUCUAACCUCACUUAAUGACUUUGACGAUGGUAUGGGCUCAUUUUCUUCACAUGCCGAUACAGAAUUUAUCUGUAUAACUACCACCAAAGUGAAGGUUAUUUUGAAUCUGAGAGUUAAUACCCUAUUGUUUCAUUUGCAAGGAUCUUUUAUUAUUACAGGAUGUGAUGUUGACAAUUUUUAUUCCUUUAUGGUUUGAUUAAUGUGUAAUCAAAAGGGGGGGAGUGUUAUGGAAAAAUUGUCUCUCCUUAUUUUUAUGUGUCUUCCUUAUUUCUAUGCAUUUUCUAUGCAGUUAUUAUACGAUUUAGGACUUAUGUUCUGCAAAUAAUAUCUUUAAUGUUAUUGGUCUUACUGUAUGCAUUGACAUUUCACCUACAUUGUUCAAUGGUUGUCUCUGCCUGAUAGACUCUCAACUCUAGCUCCCAAACCCAAGGUCGGGGAGUUGUGUCUCUGUCGGUUGAGACUGGUGCUCCUUUCUCACAGAUAGUUGGACGUCAGCGCCGGCAGGUGUGAGAAAGUAAAAAUCUUCACACACACUGCGACAGGGAGGAGAUGCCGUUGCCUGUUAAUUUGAUGGGUUAGAAAGACAUUCCACCCUAGUCGGACAGAGAAGCUAAAAGGCAGAAGCAACUUGAGGAUCGUGGGCUCUUUGCCAUCACACUUCGUGGUGUGUGCACUGAUCUCCCCAGCUGGUUUUUGGUUUGUUGAUGUGCACGAUCAACAUCCAUGCUUUUUAUUUGCUUUCCCCAUUAUUUUUAUUUUCUUUAUUAUUUCAAUAAAUCGCACAAAAGGACAACUCUCUCUCA